UCAAGCGUUUUGAUCAAAUCUUUAAAACACACAAAAGUUUAAUUUAAAAAAUGUAGAAAAAAAGUGGGGCAUUCUAAUUUCCCCAUCCGUUGCUCUCCUCGAAUCUCGAAUCCUCCGAUCCAACUUUUGAACAACCCUCUCUUUUUGCUUUCUUUGCAAUCGUAAUUUUGCUUUUAACAGUUUCGAUUGUUGCAGGUAUAAACCCAGAUGGGCAAGUCCUCUUCUUCUCAUACCAAGAAACGCUCCAAGGUUUCCUCCGAGGCUCGAACAAGAAAGAAGAGUAAGAGUAAAAGUAGGAAAUAUAGAUACAAGAAGCUUCGCCGUCGUGACGAUUCUUCUUCGUAUUCUGGUGAGGAUGAUUCAAGAAGUUUGGAAUCGAAUUCCUCUUUUAGUUCAGAGGAUGAUUCGAGAAGUAGAAGGGCUCGAUCGCGCACUCGGAAGGUUGCAAAAGGGAGCAAGAAGAGGGCUCGGAGACGCUCUUAUAGCCGUGACAGUAGCGAGGACUCUGCCCGUAGAAAGAAGAGGAAAUCGGCGAAGAAGAAGAAUGAUAAGAAAACUCAUUUGAGGAAGAGGCCUUGGAGGAAUGCUAGUGUUAGUUCCAGGAGUAGUGCGUCGUUUAGCUGCUCAACUUGUCCUAGUGGGGGAAUUAGUGGCGAUGACAUUGAAUCUAAGAGGCAUAGGGGCAGACCGGAAAAACGAAACAGAGAUGAAAGUGAUAUUAACAUGGUUGAUAGGGGGACUAAGAGGGCUAGAUAUAGGUCAUGGAGCUGUUCUUCGCGCAGUCAGCAUAGCGAGAGUGGUGAUUGUCGGAGUGAGGAAAAAGUGACAUAUGAGAACAAUACGAGGAGGUUGAGAUCCGUAGUUACUGUGACAGAAGAAGACAAGCACGGCAGGUGGAUGGAUACGGAUGGGCACAAAGAAGAGAUUACAUACGAUGAUGAUUACCCUUCUUGUAGAAGUAAUGACAGUAAUGACGGAGGAUGCAAGAGGGAGUUGAAUAAUUGUUUAGAUGUUGCAUUUGAGAAGAGAACGGAAGUAGAGAGUGGGAAAGAGGAAGAAGCUUAUGUUUCUAAUGUUCCAAUCAUGGAUCUCAAAGAUAUUCGUAGCAUUUUGGAAAAAGAUUGCGCGGGCCAAGGUGAUGGAAUUGGGAUUACUGGUCCUGUUAAUGAAAAUAAGAAUGAGGUUUCUGGGACAAUCAGUAGUCUGCCAGGUGAGGAUCUGGAAUCAAUUUUAAGACAAAAGGCUUUGGAAAAUCUAAAAAGAUUUAAAGGAAAGCAUCAAAGAAUUUCAGCUGUAACUACCAAUCAGGAAGACAAGACCGCUAUUGAUUUGAAACAGCCGUCCACUGCAAAGGUUGAAUUGGUUCAAAUAGAAUCCCCCGGGGAGAGUGGUGCUAGAGUGGUUGUAGCAAAGUCAUCCGAGGAGGAUGUUGCUGAAAGGGUUGAUGCAAUCCAAUCAGUAGAAGAGGCCAAUGGGCCUCAAGAGAGAGUUUCCAUGCUUUCUUCCCAAAACCUUGAAAAGGAACCAGAUGGCAAUGAAAUCUCUGCCAAGCAAGAUGUUGCUUGUCCAAUAGAGCAAGUGGUUGUCGGUAUAAAGGUUAAGACCACUGCUGCCCUUAAUAAACCAAACACGACUUCACCAACAUUGAGGGGUCAUUCGCUAAAAGCUCACCCCACGCUGAAACAAGAACCUGCUUUACAGGAACCUCCUGAGGAAAGAUUGUUGGUGAGUGAGAGUUGUGUAGAUAAGGGUGCUUCUGGGACUGCCCAAACUGUUCCUCAAAGAAGCAAUAGCAACGGUGAAGAUAUUGAUGAGGGUCAUGAUUCUACUGCUCCCGAACCUUUAGGAGAAAAUAGUUCUGAUAAACAGCAAGAUGAAGCUACAGUUGGCUCACAGUUUGAGCAGAAAACAAUGUCGGUGAUGCGAGGUAGUGAAAUGGUACAGGUGAGUUAUAAGGUUUACAUCCCUAAGAAAGCUCCUGCUCUGGCGAGGAGGCAACUCAAGCGGUGAUAUCUCAUCCAUCGUUCUGGUGCGCACAGUUUGCUCUUGAUUAAAGCUUUGCAUAAAGGGGUGGUAUUUUCUUGGCCUUUCAAAGCAGCCAUUUUCCUCCCAGAACAAUCUUGAAAUUCGCGGUUUAGCAGUCGUUUUAGGUGAUAAAAGUCUCUACAAGGAAAGAAGCUGCCCAAAAACCCCGAAGAAGCUGCACAUAAGUUGUCAUGGAUGAUUGCUACUUUUUCCCGAAGGGCUUUCGCAAUUGUUUGAGUCAGUCCUAUAGGACUAUAGGAGGACACAGAAGUUGAUGCGGGAGGCAGACCUUGAAGAAAACAAUUUGAAGACCACUAGUAUGCAUUGGAAUAAUAAGGCUGUGUAUUUUAAUGACAUAGGAACUUGUUAGGUCAUUUUUAGAGAGUUUUUUAGGAAGUUGUAGUGUAUUUAUGUUCCUUUAUCUUGAGUUCCCUUAAAUAUUGAUGUAUCAAAAGGUUUUGGGAUGAGACUUGAAUGAAUUAAAAUUUUAUUUACCUUGUGCAUUUGAAGAGAA
RNA transcript from Pyrus x bretschneideri (Chinese white pear), 2539 nucleotides. It is a transcript of the gene named G patch domain-containing protein 8, with no coding region annotated. The transcript is spliced from 4 exons. Lineage: Eukaryota; Viridiplantae; Streptophyta; Magnoliopsida; Rosales; Rosaceae. The record is from RefSeq and is a predicted model, not a curated record.